This 253-nucleotide ribosomal RNA is filed under the name uncultured bacterium. RNAcentral's name for it is "partial 16S ribosomal RNA". It matches the Rfam family "Bacterial small subunit ribosomal RNA", at positions 524 to 776 of the family's 1533-position model. The record is from RNAcentral.
UACGUAGGGACCAAGCGUUGUUCGGAUUUACUGGGCGUAAAGAGCGCGUAGGCGGCAAUUCAAGUCAUCUGUGAAAUCUCCGGGCUUAACCCGGAACGGUCAGGUGAUACUGUUUUGCUAGAGUGCGGAAGGGGCAAUCGGAAUUCUCGGUGUAGCGGUGAAAUGCGUAGAUAUCGAGAGGAACACCAGAGGUGAAGACGGGUCUCUGGGCCGAAACUGACGCUGAGGAGCGAAAGCGUGGGGAGCAAACAGG